This 446-nucleotide ribosomal RNA is filed under the name uncultured bacterium. Its description in RNAcentral is "partial 16S ribosomal RNA". It matches the Rfam family "Bacterial small subunit ribosomal RNA", at positions 331 to 795 of the family's 1533-position model. The record is from RNAcentral.
CCAGACUCCUACGGGAGGCAGCAGUAGGGAAUUUUGCGCAAUGGGCGAAAGCCUGACGCAGCAACGCCGCGUGAUCGAGACGCCCUUCGGGGUGUAAAGCUCUAUCAGCAAGGAAGAAAAUGACGGUACCUGACUAAGAAGCCCCGGCUAGCUACGUGCCAGCAGCCGCGGUAAUACGUAGGGGGCAAGCGUUAUCCGGAUUUACUGGGUGUAAAGGGAGCGUAGACGGCGGUGCAAGCCAGAUGUGAAAGCCCGGGGCUCAACCCCGGGACUGCAUUUGGAACUGUGCUGCUAGAGUGUCGGAGAGGCAGGCGGAAUUCCUAGUGUAGCGGUGAAAUGCGUAGAUAUUAGGAGGAACACCAGUGGCGAAGGCGGCCUGCUGGACGAUGACUGACGUUGAGGCUCGAAAGCGUGGGGAGCAAACAGGAUUAGAUACCCUUGUAACC